GCAAGUGUGGUGUAGUGGUUCAGAGCACUGGACUCGUAAUCUGGUGAACCGGGUUCGCUUCCCCGCUCCUCCACAUGCA
This 79-nucleotide transfer RNA is filed under the name Podarcis lilfordi (Lilford's wall lizard). RNAcentral describes it as "tRNA.Thr". Lineage: Eukaryota; Metazoa; Chordata; Lepidosauria; Squamata; Lacertidae. The record is from RNAcentral.